GUGGGGAAUAUUGCGCAAUGGGGGAAACCCUGACGCAGCGACGCCGCGUGAGCGAAGAAGGCCUUAGGGUUGUAAAGCUCUGUUUUAAGGGACGAAUGUCGUGGGGAGUAAUAUGCUCUGCGAAUGACGGUACCUUAAGAGGAAGCCCCGGCUAACUACGUGCCAGCAGCCGCGGUAAGACGUAGGGGGCGAGCGUUGUCCGGAAUUACUGGGCGUAAAGAGCACGUAGGCGGGAACUUAAGUCAGGUGUGAAAGACCGGGGCUCAACUCCGGGGUUGCACUUGAAACUGGGGUUGUUGAGGGCAGGAGAGGAAAGCAGAAUUCCUGGUGUAGCGGUGAAAUGCGUAGAAAUCAGGAGGAAUACCAGUGGCGAAGGCGGCUUUCUGGACUGACCCUGACGCUGAGGUGCGAAAGCGUGGGUAGCAAACAGGAUUAGAUACCCUGGUAGUCC
Molecule: ribosomal RNA, 451 nt
Filed under: uncultured bacterium
Lineage: Bacteria
Description: partial 16S ribosomal RNA
Rfam family: Bacterial small subunit ribosomal RNA
Source: RNAcentral